RNAcentral lists this ribosomal RNA (303 nucleotides) under uncultured bacterium. Its description in RNAcentral is "partial 16S ribosomal RNA". It matches the Rfam family "Bacterial small subunit ribosomal RNA", at positions 507 to 809 of the family's 1533-position model. The record is from RNAcentral.
AGCAGCAGCCACGGGAAUACGUAGGUGGCGAGCGUUGUCCGGAAUCAUUGGGCGUAAAGGGAGCGCAGGCGGGCAUGUAAGUCUUUCUUAAAAGUUCGGGGCUCAACCCCGUGAUGGGAAAGAAACUACAUGUCUUGAGUACAGGGGAGGAAAGCGGAAUUCCCAGUGUAGCGGUGAAAUGCGUAGAUAUUGGGAGGAACACCAGUGGCGAAGGCGGCUUUCUGGACUGCAACUGACGCUGAGGCUCGAAAGCCAGGGGAGCGAACGGGAUUAGAGACCCCCGUAGUCCCUGUCUCUUAUACA